CCUGCUUGAUACUGCAAGUAGCAUUGGCUUGUUUCAAAUAAUAAGCCAUGCACGUGUAAGUACACAUGGCCGGUACAGUGGAACUGUGAAUGGCUCAUUGAAUCAGUUUAGUCCCUUUGAUUGCUCCAUCUAUUACUUGGAUAACUGUAUUAAUUCUAGAGCUAAUACAUGCAGACCUCCUGGGAUGUGUGCAUUUUUCAUACCAAGACCAACCCAGCUAGCCCGGCCACUUUGUUGACUCUGGAUAAGCUUGGCCAGAUUGCACAUCCCUGUAACAUCGACUACACAUUUGGACGUAUGCCCUAUCAACUUUCAAUGGUACUUUCUGUGACUAUCAUGGUGCCCACAGGUAACAGGGAAUGAGGCUCAAUUCUGGAGAGGGAGCCUAAGAAACAGCUUCCACAUCCAAGGAUUGUAGCAGGCACGCAAAUUACCCACUUCCUACUCAGGGAGGUAGUGCAGACAAGUAACAAUACAGGACUCUUUCCAGGUCCUAUAAUCAGAACGAGUACACUUUAAAUCCUUUAACAAGGAUCCAUUGGAAGGCAAGUCUGGUGCCAGCAGUCACAGGAAUCCUAACUUCAGUAGCAUACAUUAAAGUUGCUGCAGUUAAAAGGUUGUAGUUGGAUUUUGGGAUCAAGCUGGUGAUCCGAUAAGGAGGCGAGCAACUGCCUGUCCCAGCACCUGCCUCUCAGUACCCCCUUGAUGCUCUUGACUGAGUGUCCUGGCAGUCCAAAGCAUUUACUUUGAAAACAUUAGUGUUCAAAGCAGGCCGGUCACCUGAAUACUUCAGCUAGGAAUGAUGCAAUAGGACUCUGGUACUAUUUUAUUGCUUUUUGGAACUGGGGCCAUGGUUAAGAUGGAUGGCCGGAAUCAUUCAUAUUGUGCCUCUAGAGCGGAACAUCUUGGACCAUUGUACUUCUGACCAUAAACAAUUCACACUAGUGAUCCAGCAGCGUUAUUACCAAGACCCGCCGAGCAGCUUCCGGGAAACCAAAGUCAGUGGGUAACAGGGGUAUGGUUGCAAAGCUGAAACUUAAAGGAAUUGAUGGAAAGGCACCUCCAGGAGUGGAACUUGUGGAUUCAUUUGACUCAACACGGGAAACCUCACUCGGCCCAGACACAGAAAGGAAUGACAGAUUGAUAGCUCUUUUUCAAUUCUGUGGGUGAUGUUGCAUGGCUGCUCUUAGCUGGUGGAGUGAUUUGUCUGGUUAAUUUCAAUGACAAUUGCAAAUCAAACAUGUUACUUAGUUGUGAGACCCCAGCAGUUGGCCUUCAACUUCUUAGAGGGACACGUGGUGUUCAACCACACAAGAUCAAGCAAUAACAGGUCUGUGAUGCUCUUAAAUGUCCAGGCUGCAUAUGCACUACACUGAACAGAUCAGUAUGUGUCUACCCUAUGCUGACAGGUGCAGGAAACCCCCUGAACCUGGUUCAUGAUAGGGAUAGGGGAUUACAAUUAUUUCCCAUGAAAAGGAAUUACCAGUAAGUGUGGGUCAUAAGCUCACAUUGAUUAAGUCCAUGCCCUUUGGACAAACCGCCCAUCACUACUGCAGAUUGGAUGUUUUAGUAAAGUCCUCAGAUCGGCUCUGCUGGCUUCGGCAGCGGCCCUAGUGGAGCACUGAGAAGAUGAUCAAACUUGACCAGAGGAAAGAAAAGUCGUAACAAGGUUUCCGUCGGUGAGCCUAUGGAAG
RNAcentral lists this ribosomal RNA (1694 nucleotides) under Ambystoma mexicanum (axolotl). RNAcentral describes it as "SSU rRNA". It matches the Rfam family "Eukaryotic small subunit ribosomal RNA". Lineage: Eukaryota; Metazoa; Chordata; Amphibia; Caudata; Ambystomatidae. The record is from RNAcentral.